Molecule: ribosomal RNA, 2903 nt
Filed under: Enterobacter cloacae
Lineage: Bacteria; Pseudomonadati; Pseudomonadota; Gammaproteobacteria; Enterobacterales; Enterobacteriaceae
Description: 23S ribosomal RNA
Rfam family: Bacterial large subunit ribosomal RNA
Source: RNAcentral
UUAAGCGACUAAGCGUACACGGUGGAUGCCCUGGCAGUCAGAGGCGAUGAAGGACGUGCUAAUCUGCGAAAAGCGCCGGCGAGGUGAUAUGAACCUUUGACCCGGCGAUGUCCGAAUGGGGAAACCCAGUGUGUUUCGACACACUAUCGUUAACUGAAUACAUAGGUUAACGAGGCGAACCGGGGGAACUGAAACAUCUAAGUACCCCGAGGAAAAGAAAUCAACCGAGAUUCCCCCAGUAGCGGCGAGCGAAUGGGGAGCAGCCCAGAGUCUGAAUCAGCUUGUGUGUUAGUGGAACGGUCUGGAAAGUCCGGCGAUACAGGGUGACAGCCCCGUACACGAAAAUGCACAGGUUGUGAACUCGAAGAGUAGGGCGGGACACGUGGUAUCCUGUCUGAAUAUGGGGGGACCAUCCUCCAAGGCUAAAUACUCCUGACUGACCGAUAGUGAACCAGUACCGUGAGGGAAAGGCGAAAAGAACCCCGGCGAGGGGAGUGAAAAAGAACCUGAAACCGUGUACGUACAAGCAGUGGGAGCACCUUCGUGGUGUGACUGCGUACCUUUUGUAUAAUGGGUCAGCGACUUAUAUUCUGUAGCAAGGUUAACCGUAUAGGGGAGCCGAAGGGAAACCGAGUCUUAACUGGGCGUUAAGUUGCAGGGUAUAGACCCGAAACCCGGUGAUCUAGCCAUGGGCAGGUUGAAGGUUGGGUAACACUAACUGGAGGACCGAACCGACUAAUGUUGAAAAAUUAGCGGAUGACUUGUGGCUGGGGGUGAAAGGCCAAUCAAACCGGGAGAUAGCUGGUUCUCCCCGAAAGCUAUUUAGGUAGCGCCUCGUGAACUCAUCUUCGGGGGUAGAGCACUGUUUCGGCUAGGGGGCCAUCCCGGCUUACCAACCCGAUGCAAACUACGAAUACCGAAGAAUGUUAUCACGGGAGACACACGGCGGGUGCUAACGUCCGUCGUGAAGAGGGAAACAACCCAGACCGCCAGCUAAGGUCCCAAAGUCAUGGUUAAGUGGGAAACGAUGUGGGAAGGCACAGACAGCCAGGAUGUUGGCUUAGAAGCAGCCAUCAUUUAAAGAAAGCGUAAUAGCUCACUGGUCGAGUCGGCCUGCGCGGAAGAUGUAACGGGGCUAAACCAUGCACCGAAGCUGCGGCAGCGACGCUUAUGCGUUGUUGGGUAGGGGAGCGUUCUGUAAGCCGUUGAAGGUGGCCUGUGAGGGUUGCUGGAGGUAUCAGAAGUGCGAAUGCUGACAUAAGUAACGAUAAAGCGGGUGAAAAGCCCGCUCGCCGGAAGACCAAGGGUUCCUGUCCAACGUUAAUCGGGGCAGGGUGAGUCGACCCCUAAGGCGAGGCCGAAAGGCGUAGUCGAUGGGAAACAGGUUAAUAUUCCUGUACUUGGUGUUACUGCGAAGGGGGGACGGAGAAGGCUAUGUUAGCCGGGCGACGGUUGUCCCGGUUUAAGCAUGUAGGCGGAGGUUCCAGGUAAAUCCGGUACCUUAUUAACGCUGAGGUGUGAUGACGAGGCACUACGGUGCUGAAGUAACAAAUGCCCUGCUUCCAGGAAAAGCCUCUAAGCAUCAGGUAACAUCAAAUCGUACCCCAAACCGACACAGGUGGUCAGGUAGAGAAUACCAAGGCGCUUGAGAGAACUCGGGUGAAGGAACUAGGCAAAAUGGUGCCGUAACUUCGGGAGAAGGCACGCUGAUAUGUAGGUGAAGCCCCUGCGGGUGGAGCUGAAAUCAGUCGAAGAUACCAGCUGGCUGCAACUGUUUAUUAAAAACACAGCACUGUGCAAACACGAAAGUGGACGUAUACGGUGUGACGCCUGCCCGGUGCCGGAAGGUUAAUUGAUGGGGUUAGCGGUAACGCGAAGCUCUUGAUCGAAGCCCCGGUAAACGGCGGCCGUAACUAUAACGGUCCUAAGGUAGCGAAAUUCCUUGUCGGGUAAGUUCCGACCUGCACGAAUGGCGUAAUGAUGGCCAGGCUGUCUCCACCCGAGACUCAGUGAAAUUGAACUCGCUGUGAAGAUGCAGUGUACCCGCGGCAAGACGGAAAGACCCCGUGAACCUUUACUAUAGCUUGACACUGAACACUGGUCCUUGAUGUGUAGGAUAGGUGGGAGGCUUUGAAGCGUGGACGCCAGUCUGCGUGGAGCCGACCUUGAAAUACCACCCUUUAAUGGCUGGUGUUCUAACGUAGACCCGUAAUCCGGGUUGCGGACAGUGUCUGGUGGGUAGUUUGACUGGGGCGGUCUCCUCCCAAAGAGUAACGGAGGAGCACGAAGGUUAGCUAAUCCUGGUCGGACAUCAGGAGGUUAGUGCAAUGGCAUAAGCUAGCUUGACUGCGAGAGUGACGGCUCGAGCAGGUGCGAAAGCAGGUCAUAGUGAUCCGGUGGUUCUGAAUGGAAGGGCCAUCGCUCAACGGAUAAAAGGUACUCCGGGGAUAACAGGCUGAUACCGCCCAAGAGUUCAUAUCGACGGCGGUGUUUGGCACCUCGAUGUCGGCUCAUCACAUCCUGGGGCUGAAGUAGGUCCCAAGGGUAUGGCUGUUCGCCAUUUAAAGUGGUACGCGAGCUGGGUUUAGAACGUCGUGAGACAGUUCGGUCCCUAUCUGCCGUGGGCGCUGGAGAAUUGAGGGGGGCUGCUCCUAGUACGAGAGGACCGGAGUGGACGCAUCACUGGUGUUCGGGUUGUCAUGCCAAUGGCAUUGCCCGGUAGCUAAAUGCGGAAGAGAUAAGUGCUGAAAGCAUCUAAGCACGAAACUUGCCCCGAGAUGAGUUCUCCCUGACUCCUUGAGAGUCCUGAAGGAACGUUGAAGACGACGACGUUGAUAGGUCGGGUGUGUAAGCGUAGCGAUACGUUGAGCUAACCGAUACUAAUGAACCGUGAGGCUUAACCU